GACGAACGCUGGCGGCGUGCCUAAUACAUGCAAGUUGAGCGCUGAAGGUUGGUACUUGUACCGUCUGGAUGAGCAGCGAACGGGUGAGUAACGCGUGGGGAAUCUGCCUUUGAUCGGGGGACAACAUUUGGAAACGAAUGCUAAUACCGCAUAAAAACUUUAAACACAAGUUUUAAGGUUGAACGAUGCAAUUUCAUCACUCAAAGAUGAUCCCGCGUUGUAUUAGUUAGUUGGUGAGGUAAAGGCUCACCAAGGCGAUGAUACAUAGCCGACCUGAGAGGGUGAGUGGCCACCUUGGGACUGAGACCCGGCCCAAAAUCCUUCGGGAGGCAGCAAGAGGGCAACUUCGGCAAUAGACGGAAGUCUGAACGAGCAACGCCGAGGGAGUGAAGAAGGUUUUCGGAUCGUAAAACUCUGUUGGUAGAGAAGAACGUGGGUGAGAGUGGAAAGCUCAUCAAGUGACGGUAACUACCCAGAAAGGAACGGCUAACUACGUG
Molecule: ribosomal RNA, 497 nt
Filed under: uncultured bacterium
Lineage: Bacteria
Description: partial 16S ribosomal RNA
Rfam family: Bacterial small subunit ribosomal RNA
Source: RNAcentral